UCUUUCGGGAUCUAGAGAGCGGCGUACGGGUGCGGAACACGUGUGCAACCUGCCUUUAUCAGGGGGAUAGCCUUUCGAAAGGAAGAUUAAUACCCCAUAAUAUUUAGAAUGGCAUCAUUUUAAAUUGAAAACUCCGGUGGAUAGAGAUGGGCACGCGCAAGAUUAGAUAGUUGGUGAGGUAACGGCUCACCAAGUCUGCGAUCUUUAGGGGGCUUGAGAGGGUGAUCCCCCACACUGGUACUGAGACACGGACCAGACUCCUACGGGAGGCAGCAGUGAGGAAUAUUGGACAAUGGGUGAGAGCCUGAUCCAGCCAUCCCGCGUGAAGGACGACGGCCCUAUGGGUUGUAAACUUCUUUUGUACAGGGAUAAACCUACCCUCGUGAGGGUAGCUGAAGGUACUGUACGAAUAAGCACCGGCUAACUCCGUGCCAGCAGCCGCGGUAAUACGGAGGGUGCAAGCGUUAUCCGGAUUUAUUGGGUUUAAAGGGUCCGUAGGCGGAUGUGUAAGUCAGUGGUGAAAUCUCACAGCUUAACUGUGAAACUGCCAUUGAUACUGCAUGUCUUGAGUGUUGUUGAAGUAGCUGGAAUAAGUAGUGUAGCGGUGAAAUGCAUAGA
Molecule: ribosomal RNA, 618 nt
Filed under: uncultured Bacteroidota bacterium
Lineage: Bacteria; Pseudomonadati; Bacteroidota
Description: bacterial SSU rRNA
Rfam family: Bacterial small subunit ribosomal RNA
Source: RNAcentral